RNAcentral lists this non-coding RNA (335 nucleotides) under Oxobacter pfennigii. RNAcentral describes it as "Bacterial small subunit ribosomal RNA". It matches the Rfam family "Bacterial small subunit ribosomal RNA", at positions 1 to 339 of the family's 1533-position model. Lineage: Bacteria; Bacillati; Bacillota; Clostridia; Eubacteriales; Clostridiaceae. The record is from Rfam by way of RNAcentral.
UAACAUGAGAGUUUGAUCCUGGCUCAGGACGAACGCUGGCGGCGUGCCUAACACAUGCAAGUCGAGCGGAGAUGCAGCAAUGUAUCUUAGCGGCGGACGGGUGAGUAACACGUGGGUAACCUGCCUCAUAGAGGGGGAUAGCCACCCGAAAGGGUGAUUAAUACCGCAUGAUGCGGAGCUUGGGCAUCCAGGCACCGUUAAAGGAGAAAUCCGCUAUGAGAUGGACCCGCGGCCCAUUAGCUAGUUGGUGAGAUAGCAGCCCACCAAGGCGACGAUGGGUAGCCGAUCUGAGAGGAUGAACGGCCACAUUGGAACUGAGACACGGUCCAGACUCC